AUUGAACGCUGGCGGCAGGCCUAACACAUGCAAGUCGAACGAGUGGCGGACGGGUGAGUAAUGUCUGGAAACUGCCUUAUGGAAGGGGAUAACUACUGGAAACAGUAGGUAAUACCGCCUAACAUCGGAUGCGCCCCGAUGGGAUUUGCUAGUAGGUGGGGUAAAGGCUCAACUAGGCGACGAUCCCUAGCUGGUCUGAGAGGGUGACCAGCCACACUGGAACUGAGACACGGUCCAGACUCCUACGGGAGGCAGCAGUGGGGAAUAUUGCACAAUGGGCGCAAGCCUGAUGCAGCCAUGCCGCGUGUAUGAAGAAGGCCUUCGGGUUGUAAAGUACUUUCAGCGGGGAGGCGUUACCCGCAGAAGAAGCACCGGCUAACUCCGUGCCAGCAGCCGCGGUAAUUC
This 405-nucleotide ribosomal RNA is filed under the name uncultured bacterium. RNAcentral describes it as "partial 16S ribosomal RNA". It matches the Rfam family "Bacterial small subunit ribosomal RNA", at positions 30 to 526 of the family's 1533-position model. The record is from RNAcentral.